GAUGAACGCUGGCGGAGUGCCUAAUACAUGCAAGUCGAGCGAACGGACGAGAAGCUUGCUUUUCUGAUGUUAGCGGCGGACGGGUGAGUAACACGUGGAUAACCUACCUAUAAGACUGGGAUAACUUCGGGAAACCGGAGCUAAUACCGGAUAAUAUUUUGAACCGCAUGGUUCAAAAGUGAAAGACGGUCUUGCUGUCACUUAUAGAUGGAUCCGCGCUGCAUUAGCUAGUUGGUAAGGUAACGGCUUACCAAGGCAACGAUGCAUAGCCGACCUGAGAGGGUGAUCGGCCACACUGGAACUGAGACACGGUCCAGACUCCUACGGGAGGCAGCAGUAGGGAAUCUUCCGCAAUGGGCGAAAGCCUGACGGAGCAACGCCGCGUGAGUGAUGAAGGUCUUCGGAUCGUAAAACUCUGUUAUUAGGGAAGAACAUAUGUGUAAGUAACUGUGCACAUCUUGACGGUACCUAAUCAGAAAGCCACGGCUAACUACGUG
Molecule: ribosomal RNA, 497 nt
Filed under: uncultured bacterium
Lineage: Bacteria
Description: partial 16S ribosomal RNA
Rfam family: Bacterial small subunit ribosomal RNA
Source: RNAcentral